Molecule: small RNA, 128 nt
Filed under: Clostridium magnum
Lineage: Bacteria; Bacillati; Bacillota; Clostridia; Eubacteriales; Clostridiaceae
Also listed under: 1 other name
Description: c-di-AMP sequence
Rfam family: c-di-AMP riboswitch aptamer (ydaO/yuaA leader)
About the family: This family represents a conserved RNA structure found upstream of the ydaO and yuaA genes in Bacillus subtilis and related genes in other bacteria.
Source: RNAcentral
CUUGAAAACAAGCCGAAUCUCCACAUGGAGUACGGGGGAUCUUAUUAUAGGGGUGAAUCUUUUUUAUAAAGUAGGGGACCUCAACCCGAACCCGUCAACUAACCUCGGAGGCAAAAGAGGAGGAAAAA